ACUCUGAUGCAGCGAUGCCGCGUGAGUGAAGAAGGCCCUUGGGUUGUAAAGCUCUUUCNUCGGGGAAGAAAAUGACUGUACCCGAAUAAGAAGGUCCGGCUAACUUCGUGCCAGCAGCCGCGGUAAUACGAAGGGACCUAGCGUAGUUCGGAAUUACUGGGCUUAAAGAGUUCGUAGGNGGUUGAAAAAGUUGGUGGUGAAAUCCCAGAGCUUAACUCUGGAACUGCCAUCNAAACUUUUCAGCUANAGUAUGAUAGAGGAAAGCAGAAUUUCUAGUGUAGAGGUGAAAUUCGUAGAUAUUAGAAAGAAUACCAAUUGCGAAGGCAGCUUUCUGGAUCAUUACUGACACUGANGAACGAAAGCAUGGGUAGCGAANAGGAUUANAUACCCUCGUAGUCCAUGCCGUAAACGAUGUGUGUUAGACGUUGGAAAUUUAUUUUCAGUGUCGCAGCGAAAGCGAUAAACACACCGCCUGGGGAGUACGACCGCAAGGUUAAAACUCAAAUGAAUUGACGG
This 516-nucleotide ribosomal RNA is filed under the name uncultured bacterium. RNAcentral's name for it is "bacterial SSU rRNA". It matches the Rfam family "Bacterial small subunit ribosomal RNA", at positions 380 to 916 of the family's 1533-position model. The record is from RNAcentral.